This 253-nucleotide ribosomal RNA is filed under the name uncultured bacterium. Its description in RNAcentral is "partial 16S ribosomal RNA". It matches the Rfam family "Bacterial small subunit ribosomal RNA", at positions 524 to 776 of the family's 1533-position model. The record is from RNAcentral.
UACAGAGGUGGCAAGCGUUGUUCGGAAUUACUGGGCGUAAAGGGCGCGUAGGCGGUCUUGUCAGUCCCUUGUGAAAUCCCCCGGCUCAACUGGGGAACUGCACGGGAAACAGCAGGGCUUGAGUUCGGGAGAGGGAUGCGGAAUUCCAGGUGUAGCGGUGAAAUGCGUAGAUAUCUGGAGGAACACCGGUGGCGAAGGCGGCAUCCUGGACCGGUAUUGACGCUGAGGCGCGAAAGCUAGGGGAGCAAACGGG